Solanum tuberosum (potato) is the source of this 2345-nucleotide long non-coding RNA. RefSeq lists it as uncharacterized. The record is from RefSeq and is a predicted model, not a curated record. Lineage: Eukaryota; Viridiplantae; Streptophyta; Magnoliopsida; Solanales; Solanaceae. The transcript has 2 exons.
UUCUUCUAAAGCAUUAUCUCAUCUUCGCAAUUUUAUUCUUCUUCUUAUUUGUAAUGUGAUGGAAGUUAUAGGUAUGUUUGGUAUAGAAGUUAUUUUUAGUCCUAAAAGUGAACUGCUAGUUAAAACUUUCAGAUUUUAUAAAUUGUUUAUGUGUGAUAUAAAGUGGAAGUAUAGUCUCCUUCAUGUGGUUGUUGUUCUUGUUUGCUUAGCUUAUUGUGUGGAAGUUUUUCCCUGUAUUUGUAACAUUUACCUAGACUGUUGAUCUCUUAGUUAAAAUUGAUAAGUUGGUUAUGAAAUCACCGGUUCUUGAGAUGUCCUUUUUUUUUUAUUUACCUCCCAUAACGUCAUUUAAUCCCUUUAAUUGAUGCAUGUAGUGGUGAUAAUUUUGUAUGUUAAAUGGAAUAUUGGGUUUGCUACUUGAGUUUAGAUUGAUCCUUGGAAGAUUGCUCUUUUCCUUGUUGUGAAUAUAUUAUAAAAUACUCCUUGAAUCAUUGUUUUCUUCCUUUAAUAUAAUUAUUUUUAUCCUUGCCUAAUAUUGAUUAAUUGAUACUAAGGUGAUUUUUAUAGUAUUGUGUUAAUCCGAACAAAUUUCGUGUCUCUUCGUAAGGUAAUAUUUCCUUAUUAUUUUAUUUAGUAAUGCUAAUUGAUCAUAAUUGGCGUAAUUGGAAUUUAGUUGAUUCUUACUUGUUAUAUUUUACUAAAAUUAUAUUUGAUUGAGCAAAAUAACUUAAAAUAAUAUUACUUAUUUGGUGAAUAGGGAAAAAUAUCUAAUUGAUCGUUCUUGCCAUAUAUAAUCCUUGAUUGUUGAUGUCACAAUUUAGGCUUCAUUAUUUUGGUGUUGAACUUAGAGUUUAAGAUGUCGAAGAGUCUCCUAGAAGAGAAUUCCAGACGGAGCUAUUUUACUUAUUUUAAUGUUGUAUAUUUUAUUCAUUUGUUCUUUAUUUUGGCUUGUAAUAUUGUGUAUAACUCUAACACUAUCUCUAUAUGAUAUAACUUGGGGGAUCGUCUAAGGGGAGGGGAUUUACGUGCUACUUGUUUAUAUUUUAUUAUUAUUCAAAUGUGUUAGAACAUAUGCUUGCAGGAUUAUAAUUGUUUGAUUAUUCGUGUUUAACUUUCUUCAUUUAAAAUCCGGCUUAAGGUAAAAUAAAAAUAAAAAUAAAAAUAUAAAUUACAUACCCUUAAUCACCUUUUGGCUAAAUACUCUAAAAUGAAUCACGUGUUUAAUCGGUUUAUUGUCUUUGUAGUUUAUUUAUUUGCCCCGUAUGACCACUUUUAAUUAUGACAAGAUAAAAUUGUGUAUAUGUUUACUACUGUAUUUUGUUAUAAAUCACCAGCUCUCCUUUCACUAAAAAAUAGGGAAAGUGAUUAAAUAAUUGCCUAGUUACUAAUAUGCUUUGUCUUAAAAAUUUACUUUAAACAUCUUGCCUAUAGGAUUUCACUUCAAACAUAUUACUUGAUGUAGUAAUUGCAAGUUGUAUAUUAUCUAGACAUUACGGCUAUAGUUUUAAAAUCAUGUUGAUAAAAGAGUGAUUUUAAUCUGUUAAGUUCCUUGUUAAUUCACUCUUUAAUAUGGAUAAUUGCUAACUUUUGCAUGUCUUAAUCAGAUGCCAACAAUUAUAAUAUCUCUUCAAUUAAUUAAUCCUAGUAACUGUUUUGCUAAUUAUUACAAUUCAGCGGUAAAUAAUUUUAGCUAACACUUAGAAAUUAUGCAUAUAGGACAUAAUUAAUAAGUUGAGAUGUCAAUCAGUAUAUUAUUAAAGAAAAGGAGUAAAAUUAUGUGUUAAAAUUAUAAUCUGCUCCCUAGAUCGAAUCUGGCUCAAGUCAAUUAGGUUCCAAUCUGUUGUGCUAUUGAAAAUGCUAAUAACUCAUUCUGAUCUGCUACUAUUCUAAAAUAUUUCUUCUGCUACUUUAAACACUCGCUUGCUCAAAUUACAUACUGUUAAUAAAAAAAUAUUUUUGCAUUUUUGAAUAACUCUGGCCACUCAAACUCAAUCUAAAAUUUGCUUCCUAUUAAUUAUUUACCACCUUUUUUAAAAUCAGUAAUAAUAAUUAUAUGCAUGUUGUUUAAACUGUUUGUUUAAUAUUGCUUAUUCCAUUCACUUCUCCUGUUCUAAUGAGUGUGGUCUGUUUGUAUGUCACACACUUAGCAUGAAACCCUUUCACUAUUAUAUGUGUUUGCUAGCAUGUUAAUUAAAAUCUAGAGGCCAAUAUGAGACCCUACGUGCUAAAUGCUCGUCUAAAUUGUUUGACUUGGUGUCUAGGUGGGCCUAUUAUAUUUUAUUUUGUCUAAAUUCACCCUAAUAGCAGUCCAAUGCCUCUUGGACCUUACGUGGGGACGCUAGACA